CACAAUCCUCGGGUUUUAUCGCAGAAUAAAGGAGAAAGCGGAGCCGCCGACAUUAUGUAUGGAUUUGUGAAUCACGCCUUGGAGCUGCUCGUUUUGAGGAAUUAUGGACCGGAAGUGUGGGAGGACAUCAAGCGGGAGGCCCAGCUCGACAUCGAGGGCCAGUUCCUCGUCAGAAUCAUAUAUGAAGACGGCAAAACUUAC
Long non-coding RNA from Limanda limanda (common dab), 201 nucleotides. RefSeq lists it as uncharacterized. The record is from RefSeq and is a predicted model, not a curated record. The transcript is spliced from 3 exons. Lineage: Eukaryota; Metazoa; Chordata; Actinopteri; Pleuronectiformes; Pleuronectidae.